Molecule: microRNA precursor, 76 nt
Organism: Prolemur simus (greater bamboo lemur)
Lineage: Eukaryota; Metazoa; Chordata; Mammalia; Primates; Lemuridae
Source: Ensembl
GCGCAGGGCAGCCACUGCCCACCGCACACUGCGCUGCUCCGGACCCACUGUGCGUGUGACAGCGGCUGAUCUGUCC